GGCGUAGUCGAUGGGAAACAGGUUAAUAUUCCUGUACUUGGUGUUACUGCGAAGGGGGGACGGAGAAGGCUAUGUUGGCCGGGCGACGGUUGUCCCGGUUUAAGCGUGUAGGCUGGUUUUCCAGGCAAAUCCGGAAAACCAAGGCUGAGGCGUGAUGACGAGGCACUACGGUGCUGAAGCGACAAAUGCCCUGCUUCCAGGAAAAGCCUCUAAGCAUCAGGUAACAUCAAAUCGUACCCCAAACCGACACAGGUGGUCAGGUAGAGAAUACCAAGGCGCUUGAGAGAACUCGGGUGAAGGAACUAGGCAAAAUGGUGCCGUAACUUCGGGAGAAGGCACGCUGAUAUGUAGGUGAAGCGACUUGCUCGUGGAGCUGAAAUCAGUCGAAGAUACCAGCUGGCUGCAACUGUUUAUUAAAAACACAGCACUGUGCAAACACGAAAGUGGACGUAUACGGUGUGACGCCUGCCCGGUGCCGGAAGGUUAAUUGAUGGGGUUAGCGGUAACGCGAAGCUCUUGAUCGAAGCCCCGGUAAACGGCGGCCGUAACUAUAACGGUCCUAAGGUAGCGAAAUUCCUUGUCGGGUAAGUUCCGACCUGCACGAAUGGCGUAAUGAUGGCCAGGCUGUCUCCACCCGAGACUCAGUGAAAUUGAACUCGCUGUGAAGAUGCAGUGUACCCGCGGCAAGACGGAAAGACCCCGUGAACCUUUACUAUAGCUUGACACUGAACAUUGAGCCUUGAUGUGUAGGAUAGGUGGGAGGCUUUGAAGUGUGGACGCCAGUCUGCAUGGAGCCGACCUUGAAAUACCACCCUUUAAUGUUUGAUGUUCUAACGUUGGCCCGUAAUCCGGGUUGCGGACAGUGUCUGGUGGGUAGUUUGACUGGGGCGGUCUCCUCCUAAAGAGUAACGGAGGAGCACGAAGGUUGGCUAAUCCUGGUCGGACAUCAGGAGGUUAGUGCAAUGGCAUAAGCCAGCUUGACUGCGAGCGUGACGGCGCGAGCAGGUGCGAAAGCAGGUCAUAGUGAUCCGGUGGUUCUGAAUGGAAGGGCCAUCGCUCAACGGAUAAAAGGUACUCCGGGGAUAACAGGCUGAUACCGCCCAAGAGUUCAUAUCGACGGCGGUGUUUGGCACCUCGAUGUCGGCUCAUCACAUCCUGGGGCUGAAGUAGGUCCCAAGGGUAUGGCUGUUCGCCAUUUAAAGUGGUACGCGAGCUGGGUUUAGAACGUCGUGAGACAGUUCGGUCCCUAUCUGCCGUGGGCGCUGGAGAACUGAGGGGGGCUGCUCCUAGUACGAGAGGACCGGAGUGGACGCAUCACUGGUGUUCGGGUUGUCAUGCCAAUGGCACUGCCCGGUAGCUAAAUGCGGAAGAGAUAAGUGCUGAAAGCAUCUAAGCACGAAACUUGCCCCGAGAUGAGUUCUCCCUGACUCCUUGAGGGUCCUGAAGGAACGUUGAAGACGACGACGUUGAUAGGCCGGGUGUGUAAGCGCAGCGAUGCGUUGAGCUAACCGGUACUAAUGAACCGUGAGGCUUAACC
This 1537-nucleotide ribosomal RNA is filed under the name human gut metagenome. RNAcentral's name for it is "bacterial LSU rRNA". It matches the Rfam family "Bacterial large subunit ribosomal RNA", at positions 1408 to 2925 of the family's 2925-position model. The record is from RNAcentral.